RNAcentral lists this long non-coding RNA (619 nucleotides) under Numida meleagris (helmeted guineafowl). RNAcentral describes it as "lncRNA (ENSNMEG00000013856.1)". Lineage: Eukaryota; Metazoa; Chordata; Aves; Galliformes; Numididae. The record is from RNAcentral.
AAAACAUUGGCUUAAUUGACUCAAUUUCACACAGGCAUUUCCUGGGAAAGGAGCACUGUAACCUUUAAGGAAGAAUAUUUAUAUAGCCAAGAUAUUUUGUAGCCUACUAUUCUCAGUAUCCGUUAAAAAUGGUUAGCAGAUUCUUCUGUCAAGGACAUGCUAUGCUGCCAGGCUGCAACAAGAAUGCAGCAGAGACAAAGACAAGGAGAUUAAAGAGGUCAGGGGUAUUAGUCAUACAGCCCACUCUUUUUUUUAAGAGUGUAUUCUGUGGGACUAGUAGUCAAAUGAAUCAGCAGUAAGAUGAUGACAUGCAUGAUGACUGGAAACAUGCAUAAGAUAGUUUCACUGACAGAGGCAAAGAUGCUUGAUUUGGGAAGGACUGCCAUAAAUAGUGUAUUAGGCAUAGAAACCCUCUCCAAGUUUUUACAAGCCAGUGGAGGUGCUGGGACUAGGAGACCAAACCUUCUUCACAGCUUCCAUAAAAAUCCUCCCCUAAGGAACCCCAAGAAGUGUGUGAAAGUGAGUGAGCUUCUCUUUUUAGUCAUCAGGCUUCUACUGUGAUUCGAACGAUCAGGGUUGAUGGAAUAAAUUAAUCCAAGUAUGUAGAGAUGUUGAAAAU